GCCCCUCUGCGGUGUUCGAGACUGGACAGUGUACUCUUGAGCCGUAAUUUACUGCCUUGGGGGUUGAGUGCUGAUAUUUCUGUGCAUGUCCGCUUGAACGGAAAGCCUUCGAUAUCACCGUUACUCCCACAUGAACCAUUGGUUCAGGGGCGUAUGUCCACCCCGGCAUUGCGGAGGCGGC
Molecule: non-coding RNA, 181 nt
Filed under: Gammaproteobacteria bacterium
Lineage: Bacteria; Pseudomonadati; Pseudomonadota; Gammaproteobacteria
Description: 6S RNA
Rfam family: 6S / SsrS RNA
About the family: E. coli 6S RNA was the first non coding RNA to be sequenced, but its function was unknown until recently. It consists of 184 nucleotides that fold into an extended hairpin structure with a large single-stranded internal bulge.
Source: RNAcentral